RNAcentral lists this ribosomal RNA (292 nucleotides) under uncultured bacterium. Its description in RNAcentral is "partial 16S ribosomal RNA". It matches the Rfam family "Bacterial small subunit ribosomal RNA", at positions 505 to 796 of the family's 1533-position model. The record is from RNAcentral.
GUGUCAGCAGCCGCGGUAAUACGUAGGCAGCAAGCGUUGUUCGGAGUUACUGGGCGUAAAGAGUGCGUAGGCGGUUUUCUAAGUUUGGUGUGAAAUCUCCCGGCUCAACUGGGAGGGUGCGCCGAAAACUGGAAGGCUUGAGUAUGGGAGAGGUAAGCGGAAUUCCUGGUGUAGCGGUGAAAUGCGUAGAUAUCAGGAGGAACACCUGUGGUGUAGACAGCUUACUGGACCAUCACUGACGCUGAGGUACGAAAGCGUGGGUAGCAAACAGGAUUAGAUACCCGAGUAGUCC